RNAcentral lists this long non-coding RNA (201 nucleotides) under Homo sapiens (human). Its description in RNAcentral is "HSALNT0233626". The record is from RNAcentral. Lineage: Eukaryota; Metazoa; Chordata; Mammalia; Primates; Hominidae.
AGUGAACCAUCCAAAAAUGAAAUUAAGGAGACAGCCCUGGUGCAGUGGCUCAUGGAUGUAAUCCUAGCACUUUGGGAGGCUUUAAGAGGCUGAAUUGCUUGAGGCCAGGAAUUUAAAACCAGCCUGAUCAACAGAGACUCCAUCUCUACCAGAAAACGAACAAAAAAAGUUAUCCAGGUGUGGUGGCAUGCCCCUGUAGUC